RNAcentral lists this non-coding RNA (300 nucleotides) under Ipomoea nil (Japanese morning glory). RNAcentral describes it as "Eukaryotic small subunit ribosomal RNA". It matches the Rfam family "Eukaryotic small subunit ribosomal RNA", at positions 1189 to 1410 of the family's 1831-position model. Lineage: Eukaryota; Viridiplantae; Streptophyta; Magnoliopsida; Solanales; Convolvulaceae. The record is from Rfam by way of RNAcentral.
CUUAAUUUGACUAAACACUGAGAAACUUAUCGGGUCUAGACAUAGUAAGAAUUGACAAACUGAGAGCUUUUUUAAAAUUUUAUGAGUGGUGGUACAUGGUUAUUCUUAAUUGGUGAAACAAUUUAUCUAAUUAAUUCUGUUAUUGAAUGAGACCUCAGCUUGCUAACUAGCUAUGCGGAGGUUGGCCGCAACAUACUACUACAAUUUUUUGUUAUCCUAGAAAAAAAAAAAGCAUGAAAAAUUUUAUAUGAAAUAUGAAUUCAACAUGUACUUGGAUAUGCUCUUUAUUUUUCUGGUUGG